AUUAUCUUAGUUUAUCUUAGUUCGUGGAUAAUAUAGAUAAUUCCAUUUUCUAUGAAAAAUUCCCGCUAUAUUUUUAAAUCCUUAUAAUCGUGGUAGUGAAAAUAUGUACAUAAUAAUAAUAUACUACUACAAUUCGAAGGUUUGCAGUGAUUAGUCGAUUUACGUAAUUUGUUAAUUUAAAGAUCAUUGCCAAUUUUUAAAACUUAACAAAUUUGUUUUUGUUAUAAGUAUAACAUUGUCAUGAAAAAUAUUAAUAUGUCAUUAAUUAAUGUCGAUAAUGACAACAUUUGUAACCAAAAUAACAUGGUCAUGACACAAUUUAUAUUAUUUUUAGUUUUUAAUGCAAUAAUGAUGUAAAUAAUACUGAAUUAUAUUUACUAUUCAAACAUUUAAAAGGUGAUUGUUUCUACCAAGAAUUCACAGGUAAAAUUACUUAGUUCAUGCCCAUUUUAUUGAUGUUUUUUUUUUUUUUAUAUUAUAUGCUUUUAAGUAUUUAUCUUAAUUUGUAAAACAAAAUCACAACUGAAAGUUUACAAUUUAUGAAAAUAUAUCAUUUGGUUAAAUUGUGUCCCAAAACUAUGAUUGGUCAAAGAAUCAUUUUUGAACAUAAAUUAACCAAUUGGCAAACAAAUAAGUGUAGUGUAACUGUAAGUAGGUACUUAAUAGCAUCAUAACCAGACAUACCUCAUUCAAUGCUCGGCCUUUGAUAUAAAUCCUAUAUAAAUAGGAACUUUAUUAAUUAUAUAGAUGCAUACAAUGUAAUAUUUAGAAAUAGUUUUAUAACUGAUAAGCAUUA
This is a non-coding RNA of Cinara cedri, 796 nucleotides long. NCBI's taxonomy places the organism in Eukaryota, Metazoa, Arthropoda, Insecta, Hemiptera, Aphididae. The record is from the annotation of a GenBank genome assembly.